GACGAACGCUGGCGGCGUGCCUAACACAUGCAAGUCGAACGGAAAGGCCCUGCUUUUGUGGGGUGCUCGAGUGGCGAACGGGUGAGCAACACGUGAGUAACCUGCCCUUGACUUUGGGAUAACUUCAGGAAACUGGGGCUAAUACCGGAUAGGAGCUCCUGCUGCAUGGUGGGGGUUGGAAAGUUUCGGCGGUUGGGGAUGGACUCGCGGCUUAUCAGCUUGUUGGUGGGGUAGUGGUAUACCAAGGCUUUGACGGGUAGCCGGCCUGAGAGGGUGACCGGCUCCGUUAGGACGGGGAUACGGCCCCGACUCCGCACGGAGGAAGGGGAGGGGCAGAUUGCAUGAGGAGACGAGUCCUACUGCAGCAACGCAGCGUGCGGGAUGCCGGCCUGCGGGUUGUGAGCUGCUUUCGGCUGUGACGAGGAGUCAGUGACGGUACUGGGUGAAUAAGCCACGGCUAACUACGUG
Molecule: ribosomal RNA, 468 nt
Filed under: uncultured bacterium
Lineage: Bacteria
Description: partial 16S ribosomal RNA
Rfam family: Bacterial small subunit ribosomal RNA
Source: RNAcentral